UAAGCUUCAGGAAGGAAAAAAAAGCAGGAUAAAAAAGUUACCACUUUACAUAGAGUGGUCAUGGAAGGCAUCAUUAAAGAGGCAGUUUAAGCAGAGAGCUAAAUGAAGUGAUGUGAGAAGCCGUAUGAUUAUCCAGAGAGGAACAUUCCAGGUGAAGAAAACAGCCACUGACAUGAUUGAGGACCAGCAAGGAGGUCGUUAAGACUGAAGUAGAGCAAACAAGGGAAGAAUGAUCUAACUGCGAGCUACUGGACAAUUUGGAAAGUACCUGAAAUAACAGUUGAGUAUUUUGGAGAAAAUUCUGCCACGUGGAAAAGAAACAAACUGCGAAAAUGAUUUCCAUCCCAUCCAUUCUGUUUAAGAAAAAACAAAACAAAAAGGAUUUUGGGGUGACCUUGAUCUCAUAGAAUGCUGCAGACUGGAUUGAGGAAAGCAACAGUGAAUGCAGAGAGACUAGUUGGAGGCUAUUGCUGGAACCUAUAAAAGAUUACAGUUUGGACUGAAGAUGUGUUAGUGCAGAUGGAGAAAAGUGGAUGGACUGUACAGCACCUGGAAACUGAUUGUAUAUGACGGUGGAAGACUUGUAGGUUUUACACUAGUGACUCUUUGGAGGCAGAUGCCAUUACUGAGAUGGGAAACCCAGCAAGAGAUAUCCAGGGCCUAUACAAGUCUUUUUUUUUUUAAUUUUUUGAUACGGAGUUUCGCUGUUGUUACCCAGGCUAGAGUGCAAUGGCACAAUCUCAGCUCACCGCAACCUCCACCUCCUGGGUUCAAGAAAUUCUCCUGCCUCAGCCGCCCGAGUAGCUGGAACUACAGCACACUUCAGAAUACUCUCAUAGUAAAAGAAGAAAAAGAAGAAGAAGAAGAGGAAGAGGAAGAAAGAAGAAGGAGGAGGAGGAGGAGGAGGAGGAAGAGAAGAAAGAGCUUUUAA
RNAcentral lists this long non-coding RNA (931 nucleotides) under Callithrix jacchus (white-tufted-ear marmoset). RNAcentral describes it as "lncRNA (ENSCJAG00000076087.1)". The record is from RNAcentral. Lineage: Eukaryota; Metazoa; Chordata; Mammalia; Primates; Cebidae.